AACGAACGCUGGCGGCAUGCCUAACACAUGCAAGUCGAACGAGACCUUCGGGUCUAGUGGCGCACGGGUGCGUAACGCGUGGGAAUCUGCCCUUUGCUUCGGAAUAACAGUUAGAAAUGACUGCUAAUACCGGAUGAUGUCUUCGGACCAAAGAUUUAUCGGCAAAGGAUGAGCCCGCGUAGGAUUAGGUAGUUGGUGGGGUAAAGGCCUACCAAGCCGACGAUCCUUAGCUGGUCUGAGAGGAUGAUCAGCCACACUGGGACUGAGACACGGCCCAGACUCCUACGGAGGCAGCAGUGGGGAAUAUUGGACAAUGGGCGAAAGCCUGAUCCAGCAAUGCCGCGUGAGUGAUGAA
Molecule: ribosomal RNA, 355 nt
Filed under: uncultured bacterium
Lineage: Bacteria
Description: bacterial SSU rRNA
Rfam family: Bacterial small subunit ribosomal RNA
Source: RNAcentral